RNAcentral lists this long non-coding RNA (155 nucleotides) under Phasianus colchicus (ring-necked pheasant). RNAcentral's name for it is "lncRNA (ENSPCLG00000010842.1)". The record is from RNAcentral. Lineage: Eukaryota; Metazoa; Chordata; Aves; Galliformes; Phasianidae.
GAAAAGUUUUGCAUUAAGCAAUAAUCAGACAAGACUCAACAUCAGCAAGGAAAAGAUCAGUGAGCUAAACAAUCCCAUUGGAUCUGCAUAGACUGCAUGGGUUGUUGUGCUGUUGCUUUGUACUGAAGAUUACAGCAACUUAGUUCCAUUCAGGC